This 449-nucleotide ribosomal RNA is filed under the name uncultured bacterium. RNAcentral's name for it is "partial 16S ribosomal RNA". It matches the Rfam family "Bacterial small subunit ribosomal RNA", at positions 29 to 523 of the family's 1533-position model. The record is from RNAcentral.
AGCGAACGCUGGCGGCAGGCCUAACACAUGCAAGUCGAACGGAUCCUUCGGGAUUAGUGGCGGACGGGUGAGUAACACGUGGGAACGUGCCCUUUGGUUCGGAACAACUCAGGGAAACUUGAGCCAAUACCGGAUGUGCCCUUCGGGGGAAAGAUUUAUCGCCAUUGGAGCGGCCCGCGUCUGAUUAGCUAGUUGGUGAGGUAAAGGCUCACCAAGGCGACGAUCAGUAGCUGGUCUGAGAGGAUGAUCAGCCACAUUGGGACUGAGACACGGCCCAAACUCCUACGGGAGGCAGCAGUGGGGAAUCUUGCGCAAUGGGCGAAAGCCUGACGCAGCCAUGCCGCGUGAAUGAUGAAGGUCUUAGGAUUGUAAAAUUCUUUCACCGGGGACGAUAAUGACGGUACCCGGAGAAGAGGCCCCGGCUAACUUCGUACCAGCCGCCGCAGUAA